GGGGAUAUGGCGGAAUGGUAGACGCUACGGACUCAAAAAAUCCGUUGGUUUUUAACCGUGAGGGUUCGAGCCCCUCUAUCCCCA
RNAcentral lists this transfer RNA (84 nucleotides) under Azolla nilotica. Its description in RNAcentral is "tRNA-Leu". It matches the Rfam family "tRNA". From Rfam's summary of the family: Transfer RNA (tRNA) molecules are approximately 80 nucleotides in length. Their secondary structure includes four short double-helical elements and three loops (D, anti-codon, and T loops). The record is from RNAcentral. Lineage: Eukaryota; Viridiplantae; Streptophyta; Polypodiopsida; Salviniales; Salviniaceae.